UCCUUUCCAGAACCCAAGACCAUGGCAGUAGGUUUAAGUACAAUUGUGAAUUUACCAGAUUG
This 62-nucleotide small RNA is filed under the name Ditylum brightwellii. RNAcentral's name for it is "partial Betaproteobacteria transfer-messenger RNA". The record is from RNAcentral. Lineage: Eukaryota; Bacillariophyta; Thalassiosirophyceae; Lithodesmiales; Lithodesmiaceae.